Molecule: long non-coding RNA, 261 nt
Filed under: Capsicum annuum
Lineage: Eukaryota; Viridiplantae; Streptophyta; Magnoliopsida; Solanales; Solanaceae
Description: long non-coding RNA (CANN_LNC016472)
Source: RNAcentral
CUAAAACGUCUGCUAACUUGCGGUUAUCCGGACUGUUUGAAAAUCGUCUUUUGAUUAACUUCAAAAAGAUUAAUUUGUUGAAAUAGUGAUUUGAUUUUUUUCAAAAAAAGACUUGUGUAAAAUAGAUUUAGGCGACUUAGUAGGGAUUUUAACUUAGUCUAAACAAAACUAAUAAACAAAUAAACACAUAAAAGGGGAAGGGAGGAGAAAGUAAAGGAUUUAGGCCAUUGGGCCCAAAUCAACGAGACCUGUCCUAGUCNN